AACGAACGCUGGCGGCAUGCCUAACACAUGCAAGUCGAACGAGACCUUCGGGUCUAGUGGCGCACGGGUGCGUAACGCGUUGGAACCUGCCCUUAGGUUCGGAAUAACUCCCCGAAAGGGGUGCUAAUACCAGAUAAUGUCUUCGGACCAAAGAUUUAUCGCCUUUGGAUGGGCCCGCGUUGGAUUAGCUAGUUGGUAGGGUAAAAGCCUACUAAGGCGACGAUCCAUAGCUGGUCUGAGAGGAUGAUCAGCCACACUGGGACUGAGACACGGCCCAGACUCCUACGGGAGGCAGCAGUGGGGAAUAUUGGAAAAUGGGCGAAAGCCUGAUCCAGCAAUGCCGCGUGAGUGAUGAAGGCCUUAGGGUUGUAAAGCUCUUUUACCCGGGAUGAUAAUGACAGUACCGGGAGAAUAAGCUCCGGCUAACUCCGUG
RNAcentral lists this ribosomal RNA (433 nucleotides) under uncultured bacterium. RNAcentral's name for it is "partial 16S ribosomal RNA". It matches the Rfam family "Bacterial small subunit ribosomal RNA", at positions 29 to 507 of the family's 1533-position model. The record is from RNAcentral.